Molecule: unclassified non-coding RNA, 307 nt
Filed under: fungal sp.
Lineage: Eukaryota; Fungi
Description: partial internal transcribed spacer region
Rfam family: Eukaryotic small subunit ribosomal RNA (bases 1-46)
Source: RNAcentral
AAGUCGUAACAAGGUUUCCGUAGGUGAACCUGCGGAAGGAUCAUUAACACUUUUGAAUCCUGAACUUGUUCUCCCAAAUUCACUUGGGCAGAACUCGUUCUUAACCCCACAAUUUGUGAACGAUGAUUUAUAUCGGCGGAUAAUUAUAUUAUCUCCGUUUCCCCUUUUUCUCUUUUUUAUUCCCCAUUUAUUUUUACCCCAAAUUAUCCAUUCGACUGAUAUGAACUUUAUCUUUUCCUUAAAACGAAAAGAUAAAACGAUUAAAAAAUGGUUAAAACAACUCUUAGCAACGGAUAUCUUGGCUCUC